GCCAUUCUGAUCUGUUGAAAGAGGGAAGUGUGGUGCCUGAAGCACUGAAAAGCAUGCGGGAGAAGGUGAUAACAAGGCUCAGGGGAAAACCGAGGCAAGAAGAGAAGUCCUGUUGCAUAGAAAGAGAGAGCUCAGAAACUGGAAUUAGAUGCCCUGGGUUCACAUCUUGGCUCUGCGUCUUAAAAGAUUACAAGACUGAAUAAGAUAGACAUGACCUCCUUCCUCCUGGACCUGACAAUUGUUCCUUCAAAUCACUUCCACACAUGCAUUGCCUGGGGACUGGGGACUGGGGUCUGGAUCCCAUGGCCAGACCAAACCCCAAAGGAAGCUAUUGGAGAAUACACACCUUCGAAAUGCGGAGAAAUAUAAGAAAAGGAAGACAAGAGUUCAAGAAGCCAGGCAUCCAACAAUAAUAACUAAAGAGGCAAGGUAAUUCUCAGGAUGAUGUAACAGAAAGUCCAGACUGGUGAAUGACAAUGAAGAACUACAAGAGGUUUGUACUCUGAAAAGAAGAAGGAAAAAAGUGGAACUCACAGUUUGUCUAAAGUUUUUGACCAUGUUUCAAGGAAGUAUAUGGUUCUGUGCAAAGUUAGCAAAAGGUACAUUAAAAAAAUGAGAAAACAACAAAAUCAGGCAAUUACCAACUAAAAGUAUAAAGAAUUUGGUACAAAAAAGGAAAUUAAUAAUACACUACAUGCUAACUUGUUAACAAUUUUUACAUAGUACCAAUACAAUAAAUACAAUGUUAAUUUCAAACUGCAAUUAAUUAUGCUGGAAGGAUGUGGGAGUGUUAAGAGAGUUAAAUUAAAAUCUUCAUAACAGGAAGUCAACAGAUAAUACCUACUGAAUAUUUCUACUUUUUGGAGGGAUGUUGGGUUGGGGAACUACUGUUUCAUUUCCUUAAAGUACUAUUUGGCUUUUUAAAUUGCCUGUACACAUGCAUAUGCAUACAUAGUCUAAAGUUAAAUUUUUAAAACCACAUAUAAAAGCCAUGUGGGAAAAGAAUUAUUGUGAAUGCUUAGUAAAAGAAUGUAUGCACAGCACAUAAUACAAUGUUGAUACAUCAUAGAGUAUUAAUAAAGUCCCCAAGAUUUGCCUGCUUGGGAUAGUCUUAUUAACAAAAGUUAAUCUUGUUAAUAAAACAGUCAACAAAUAUAUAAAUCUUUACUCAUCAGUCCCUAGUAAAAUUUUCCAACUGUUGUGGAAGAUAUAAAGAAAUAUGAAACAUAAUCCUUACAUUAAAAUACCUUCUAAUAAGUUAUGGCAGUUAAUAUUUAAUUGGUGUUAUAUGUACAGUAGGCACUGUCCCAAGUUCUUUACAUAUUAUCUCUUUUAAUUCUAUGAGAUAGACAUUAUUAUCUCCAUUUUAUUAUAUAAAUGAGGAAACUGAGGCACACUAAAAUGAAGUAACUUGUCCAGGUCAUGGAGCUCAUAAGAGAGGGAGGUAGGAUUCCAGUCCAAGCAGAAGGCGAGGGAGUCUCAGAUUGCUUUAUAAUCUAAUUGAGGGGAAGAAGAAACAGAGCUAAACAACCUUAUAUGAUUUAAGGAGGAGUUCAACAUAAUACUGGAAGAGAUGUCACAAACUAAUGCAAGCAUACUUUAGGGGAAAUUGCUGUAUUACACUAGGAGAUCAGAAGAGAGUGCAAACCCUUCAGACUGAUAGCCAAGGAAGCAUUUAAUUGGACCAGCUGGCUGGGGAGGGCAUUCCUUGUAAGUGAAUCAACACGCAGAGGUGGUAACCAUAGCAUGCCAGGGAUCAGCGAGGAAGGUAAUUUGACUAGAGCAUAGCACAUUUUGUUCAUCCACAAAUAAAACCUGUGAGAUCAAAGCAGGAAAGGCCUAAUAACAAAUUAUAAAUGGCCUUGAAAGCAGACUAAGAAGCUUGGACUUUAUUUUGUGAAAACGGGAAGUGAUUGCUGAGCAUGUGCACUUAAUCUGGACAUUGUACAUGUAAUCAGCUGACAGGAAGAGAACAAGUAACGGCUUAUUGUGGCAGUCUGGAUAAGAUUUAUCAAAAUCUCAAACUAGCCUGGGGUAAGUGAGAGUGGAAUUGGCUGGAUCCUGGAUGAGAAGUCCCACAAGGACUUACAGAAACAAUUUGCAUUUUAUCUUUCUACCAAGGAGAAAAGUUUUUCAAACUACAAAGGCUAGAUAUAAUUAAAAGGGAAUUAAAUUUCAAAAAGUUCAAGUAAGAGUAUCUGCUUUGAAAAAAUGAGUUUCUAGGUUUCAAUAAGUUACAACAUAGCAUAAUCAAAUACUUAACUAUUAUGAUUAUGAAUUGGCUGGCAGGAUUUCUUUUAAAAUGAAAGUAAAGCUUUCUAGAUGUAACAAUAAAGCAUGCUCAAUAUGGAAAAAAUAUACAAAGAAAAAAAUCAGCAAACUUAUUCACAUACCCUUAGUUUGGUUAUUUUUUUUCAGUCUUUUCUAUGAAUAACUUUGUUUCCAUGUUAAUACAAAGUUACAAUUGAUUAUCAUAUUAUAUAUAGAAGAUAUAAUUUUCUUCUUGCUUAAACAUUUUAAUAAAACAUUUUUCAGUCUUUUCUUUGAAUAACUUUGUUUCCAUGUUAAUACACAGUUACAAUUGAAUUUUCUUCUUGCUUAAACUUUUUUUUUUUUUUUUUUUGAGAUGGGGUCUCACUCUAUCGCCCAGGCUGGAGUGCAGUGGCCCGAUCUUGGCUCACUGAAAACUCCGCCUCGCAGGUUCAUGCUAUUCUCCUGCCUCAGCCUCCUGAGUAGCUGGGACUACAGGCACCCGCCACAACACCCAGCUAAUUUUUUUGUAUUUUUAGUAGACACGGGGUUUCACCGUGUUAUCCAGGAUGGUCUCGAUCUCCUGACCUUGUGAUCUGCCCACCUCGGCCUCCCAAAGUGCUGGGAUUACAGGCGUGGGCCACCACACCUGGCCUUGCUUAAACAUUUUAAUAAAACAUUUCAUAUUCCAUUACAAAUUUAUUUGUAUACAUAACUAAUAAUUGCAUAAUACUUAAUAAUGUGUAUAUAUGUACUAAAAGGUUUUUAACCAUUCCUGUGUAGUUGGAUAUUUAAGCACAUUCUAAAUCUCUGUUUAUAUAAGCCUAAUAUCUCUUUGCUCAAAAUCAAUUUUCUGUAUUGUGGAUUACCUCCUCAGGCCGGUUUUCCAGCUAAAAAUCUUAAGAAAAACAAUGGAGAAUGAAAGAAGUAAACAGUUUAAACAUAACUUCUAUUUAAGAGGGCAUGAAAUGGUUAAAUUGCAAAACCUUAGUGAGUCACCAGAGUGAUUAUUUUUAACCACACUGUCCCUGAAGGACAACUGAUAAUGAUAUAUGGGAAGUAACUAUAGUGCAGAAAAUAUCUAAGCAGGCAUAACAAGUGUUUAGUAAUUAACAUCAGAAUGACAUUAUAGUUUUUAUUAAUUUUCCAGCCAGAGUCUCACUCUGUCACCCAGGCUGGAGUGCAGUGGUGUAAUCUCGACUCACGGAAACCUCUGCCUCCCAGGUUCAAGCGAUUCUCCUGCCUCAGCCUCCUGAGUAGCUGGGACUACAGGCGCCCGCUACCAUGCCCAGCUAAUUUUUGUAUUUUUAGUAGAGACGGGGUUUUACCAUAUUGGCCAGGCUGGUCUCGAACUCCUGACCUCAUGAUCUGCCCUCCUCAGCCUCCCAAAGUGCUGGGAUUACAGGCAUGAGCCAUCGCACCUGGCCGCAGAAUGACAUUAUCGUUACAUCUACACUUGAAUGUAUUUUAUAUUGCAUUUAAAUUUAUUUACAUGUAUUUUAACUUAACUGGUAAAAUUCUGAAGCAUGGGUAUAAUUAUUCUCUUAAUGCACCUUAUUCUUUUAAAUUUCUGAAUUAAUGGAAUCUGUAGACAUUAUUACAAAGAUAUAUCUGAGCCAGUUAUAUUACUGAAAUCACCUUUGCAAAAAUUAUGACAGUGAGAAAAAUAUGACAUAGGAAAAUUAUGACAGUAAAGGAAAUCUGACCUAACCAACUCCAUCUUGGUUCUAACCUCCAAGCUGUCCUUGUUCAUUCCCGGGUACAGGCUGAACUAACUUUGAGAGGAAUUUAGCUCAUGGUUUAACUUUGAAACAAAGAUGAUAACAGCCUUCCCCAAAACAAAUCCCCUCCUUGUUUGGGGACCAGAUUGCCUUUGUAAAACUAACAAAAUUACCCACAAGAUUAGGAAUUAUGGAGUCAUGCAACCAGAGAUCACAAGAUUCCUAAGCUCAAUUGCUCUGAUAGAUAACAUUACUGUUGUAAAACCUAAGAUUGGUGUUCGAAGCAUUUUUCAGACCCUGCAUUCUGAUAGACCAGCUGGUGCCACCCAGACUGGUAAACUGGCUCAUCUGGUUUUGUGGCCCCCACCCAGGAACUGACUUAAUGCAAGAGGACAGCUUGGACUCCCUGUGAUUCCAUCCCUGACCCAAUUUAUCACCAUUCCCCAUUCCCUAGCUCCCUACCCGCCAAACUGUCUUACAAAAAUCCUAGCCUCUGACUUUUUGGGGAGGCUGAUUUGAGUAACAAUAAAACUCCAGUCUCCAAUUUAGCCAGCUCUACAUGUAUUAAACUUUGUCUACUGUAAUUCCCAUCUGGAUAAAUCAGUUCCAUCUGGACAGUGGGCAAGAAGAAUCUGUUGGGCAAUUACAUUACCCACUGACAAAGUAAAAAUCCGGUGCUUGGAGUGAGCAGACCAAAUACACAACACCCUUUAAAAUAUGGUGCUUGCAGGGAUCUGCUUUUUAUUUUGUAGUUUAUUGUGAAGUGUGGGUGGUGUGAUGGGCCAAGCACAAAACCUGCAGUUGAUGAUGUGGGUUCAUGCUUUACCCUGAUUAUUAUUAGGUGUAUGACUUUGGACUUGUUAGAGAAUCACUGAAAUUCAUUUAGAGGUUAAUAAUAACACCUAUCUCACAGAGUGGAUCUGAGAAUUAAGUGAGAUAUUAGUGAAAAACUCCCCAGAGAUGAUAAGUCCUACAUUCAUCUAAAUUGUUGCUGUCAUUAUUUCUGUCUGCCACAUUAUCCUGGCACAAGAUUUAGUGGGGAUUCAUUGAGCAGGUGAGAGGUGAUGUGGAAAAGAUCCAUAAAAUUACCUCAUUAGCUCUGAGAACCUAUCACUAGCUCUUCAGAUGGAGCAGUGAGAACAGGCUGGGAUCAAACAGUAUGGAGAAAAGAAUCUCCUUGGUUCUCCUUUCAUGGGAAAUUGCAUCAGAAGUUCCUGUGGAUGGCUUGUUAAUUGGUGAGCAUUCUGAUUCAACACUGUGUCUCUCAGAAUAUAGUAAACAACCAAGGUUACACUAUCCACAUCAAAUGAUUAAUGCAAUAUGCUUAUAAUUGUUUUGUGAUUUUGCCAAUUUUCUCAUAUAUAUAACAACUCAGUGUUUUGCAAGUCAGCAAAGCCCAUUGAUAUUGUUCUUUAUGGGCUCAAAUUAUUUCACAUCCAUGGUUAACACUACUUCAAACUGAUUGACAAAAUUAGGGGGCAAAACGAGAAAAGGUGUAUUUGGUUGUGCUAUUCUUGACACAUAACCCAGUUGAUUCACUGUUGCCAAAGCCCACCAACUCCACAUCUGAGACCUUUGAUUCCAUUUUAUGAUUUUUAAUCAACUUCAUUGAGGUAUAAUUUACAUAAAACAAAUGGAAACAUUCAAAUUAUCCAGUUUCACGAGUCUUGACAAAUGUAUACACCAUGUAACCACUACCCCAAUAAAUAUAUAGAACAUUUUCCCCCAAAAGUUCCCUUUUGCCAUUUUGCAGUAAAUUCUCCUACCCUCUUGCACUCCCCACUCCCGAUAGUCAUUACUUUGAUUUCUAUCAUCAUAAGUUGAUUUUGCUUGUUCUGGAACUUCAUAUAAAUGAAAUCAUAUAAUAUCCACUCUAUGUGCCUAGUUUCCUCUGCUCAGCAAGUUUUUGAAAUUCAUCCCUAUUGUGUGUAUCAUUAAUUUGUUCCUUUUUAAUGUGAAGUAGUAUUCAUUGUAUGGAAGUGCCACAAUUUGUUUAACCAUUCAGCUACUUAUGAAUUGUUUCCAGCUUGUAGCUGUUAUAAAUAAAGCUUCUAUAAACAUUUAUGUA
This is a long non-coding RNA of Homo sapiens (human), 6039 nucleotides long. RefSeq annotates it as long independently transcribed non-coding RNA 2942. The transcript has 4 exons. NCBI's taxonomy places the organism in Eukaryota, Metazoa, Chordata, Mammalia, Primates, Hominidae. The record is from RefSeq and is marked validated.